This 498-nucleotide ribosomal RNA is filed under the name uncultured bacterium. Its description in RNAcentral is "bacterial SSU rRNA". It matches the Rfam family "Bacterial small subunit ribosomal RNA", at positions 903 to 1397 of the family's 1533-position model. The record is from RNAcentral.
AAAGGAAUAGACGGGGGCCCGCACAAGCGGUGGAGCAUGUGGUUUAAUUCGAUGCAACGCGAAGAACCUUACCAGGACUUGACAUCCUGCGAAUCACUUGGAAACAAGAGAGUGCCCUUAUAGGGAGCGCAGAGACAGGUGGUGCAUGGUUGUCGUCAGCUCGUGUCGUGAGAUGUUGGGUUAAGUCCCGCAACGAGCGCAACCCUUGCACUUAGUUGCCAACACGUUAAGGUGUGCACUCUAAGUGGACUGCCGGUGACAAACCGGAGGAAGGUGGGGAUGACGUCAAAUCAUCAUGCCCUUUAUGUCCUGGGCUACACACGUGCUACAAUGGCCGGUACAGAGGGUUGCGAAAGGGCAACCUGGAGCUAAUCCCACAAAGCCGGCCCCAGUUCGGAUUGCAGGCUGCAAUUCGCCUGCAUGAAGUCGGAAUCGCUAGUAAUCGCGGAUCAGAAUGCCGCGGUGAAUACGUUCCCGGGCCUUGUACACACCGCCCGU